RNAcentral lists this long non-coding RNA (510 nucleotides) under Solanum tuberosum (potato). RNAcentral's name for it is "long non-coding RNA (STUB_LNC002107)". Lineage: Eukaryota; Viridiplantae; Streptophyta; Magnoliopsida; Solanales; Solanaceae. The record is from RNAcentral.
AAAGCAUUCUGCCGACAGAGACAUGAAAUGCCAAAUGUAUAGCAGCUCAGAAAGAGCAUCAACAAAAGAAGACAACAGCUUAUGGGAUAAUCAGAAAACAAAGCAUAAUUAGAGUUCAUGGAAGUUCCAUAUGAAAUAAGAAGGCUGAGGAAAAAUCCUAGAGAUCAUACAAUGAUUCUGAGAAAAUCAAAAUGACUACUGAGAUAAGGGGAAAAUCUUACAUACAAUUGAUAAGGUACCAAUACCUCACAAAAUCCCACUUUCAGCCGACAGCCAUGCGUAAAAAGUGAUAAUCUAUGUUUCUCGGACUCUUCAAAAAUGUCAACUGGUGCGUGUCGGAUUCUCCAAAAGUAGUGUAUUUUUGGAGAAUCCGACACGGGUGCGGCAUCAAAAGUGAAGAGUCCAUGCAACUUAGGUGAUAAUUACCUAACAACCUGAAAGAUGCACUUGAGUUCUUCCAAAAUUUUAAUCCAUAUUUUAAGUUCUUUCAAAAAUUUAAGUCAAUCAUCU